This 1172-nucleotide long non-coding RNA is filed under the name Populus trichocarpa (black cottonwood). RNAcentral's name for it is "long non-coding RNA (PTRI_LNC003326)". Lineage: Eukaryota; Viridiplantae; Streptophyta; Magnoliopsida; Malpighiales; Salicaceae. The record is from RNAcentral.
GAACUGCAUCAUCAAGAAAAGUCUCCUCCAGUAUAAAGCCACAACUUCUCUUCUACAUCUAACCUGUUUCCCAAAAUUCCCUGUAAAACAUCUGAAAAUCUGAAAACUAACUAGAAGCCGAUCCUUUUUCCUUGUUAUUACUCCUGCACCACUUCCCUCAUUUGAUCACCCCUUCUUCUCCACAUCCAAAAUCAUCUCUCUACCUAGAGUAUCAUCGUUUGCAUCAGUUGAGAUAUCUACUUCUUUGGAAAAUAAACUUCCAUAACACUCUUUAUUGUUUUAUUCAGAACUUUGACUCCAGGGCAUGAUGCGGUUCAGAAAGUCACCCUAAUUCCACGUGGCCAGGCACGGGGCCUCACCUGGUUUAUUCCUACAGAUGACCCCACAUUGAUCUCUAAGCAACAACUUUUUGCAAGAAUAGUUGGAGGAUUAGGUGGCAGAGCUGCUGAAGAAGUGAUAUUUGGUGAGCCUGAGGUGACCACAGGGGCAGCCGGUGAUUUGCAGCAGAUCACGGGUCUGGCUAAGCAGGUAACCAAAAAUUUCAAUUUUAUACGCGUUGACCAGUGUUCACUUUGUUCUACAAAGAUCAGUUUUACUAUGUCAAUUUAUGUAAUGUCCUUUUGGAGUAGGAAAUGGGAUCUGUGCAUUUAAUAUUCCAAUUUCCGUAAGAUGGAAGGAUUCUCUUUUAGUUAGUUGAUAAGUCAACAUAAUCUGGAUCAGCUCUUGAGUUAAAGACAGUAUCUGGAGUCUAGAAUUUCAUCCUAAUUUGAAGUCACAUUUGCCAUGUCUUUUCCUUUCUUCUUUUGGUGAUUUGUGUGGCAUAUCUGUCUUGCUUUUUGUAUGUAUUUCUGCAUGCCCUUUUGCAUAUUUCAUCAAGAAGAAUUUAAUUGAAAUGAGGAGUGUUUUUUGAUCCUGUGGUUACAGAUGGUAACCACGUUUGGAAUGUCAGAAAUUGGACCAUGGUCACUAAUGGAUGCAUCAGCUCAAAGCGCUGAUGUCUUCAUGAGAAUGAUGGCAAGGAAUUCGAUGUCAGAAAAGCUCGCAGAAGACAUUGAUGCUGCUGUGAAGAGGAUAUCAGACGGUGCAUAUGAAAUUGCUUUGAGUCACAUAAGGAGCAACCGUGAAGCCAUUGAUAAGAUUGUGGAAGUCCUCCUUGAGAAGGAAACUAUGAC